UACGGAGGGUGCGAGCGUUGUCCGGAAUCACUGGGCGUAAAGGGCGCGUAGGCGGUCUGCUAAGCGUGUGGUGAAAGCUCGGGGCUCAACCCCGAGUCUGCCAUGCGAACUGGUGGACUGGAGCACUGUAGAGGCAGGUGGAAUUCCGGGUGUAGCGGUGGAAUGCGUAGAGAUCCGGAAGAACACCAGUGGCGAAGGCGGCCUGCAGGGCAGUUGCUGACGCUAAAGCGCGACAGCGUGGGGAGCAAACAGG
RNAcentral lists this ribosomal RNA (253 nucleotides) under uncultured bacterium. Its description in RNAcentral is "partial 16S ribosomal RNA". It matches the Rfam family "Bacterial small subunit ribosomal RNA", at positions 524 to 776 of the family's 1533-position model. The record is from RNAcentral.